GAUGAUAAUUAUAUUGUCACUUACAUUGAUAUUAUCAUCCAAUUCUGGUUUCUUUGAUUUUGGGAUUCUUCAUAAUUAGCAUUAUACUCGCUACAUAUUAUUGAGCAUGUAGCAAUUUUAUAUACAUUGUUUAUACUAUGUGAUUUAUGUAUUACUUUAUAACUAUUGACAUGUACAUAUUAUUAUGUACUAGGUGGUUGCAGCCUAGGCAGUCUGUUUAUUCAAAGGUAUCAGAUCUUGAAUUACCUGAUAAGGAGUAGAUCCCAAUGUGGCUUAAUUAACAGUGAGGACAAGACCAAGAGAAACAAGUUGUGCUGUUUGUUCAUGAAAUAAAUGUUGAAGUCAGAGUUUAAUGAAAGGGUAAAACUGGUACCGAAUCACCAGACAUUACUAAUAAUGAGAGCUGGUAUAGAUAUGAUAACUGGUGUAUGUAAGCUAACUUAGAAGAGAUGAUUCAUUCAACAACACUAGGGACUAAUCAUGUCUAUCAGUCUAUAUCUAUGAUGAUAUAUACACAAUGGAGUACACUAUUUUUGUAAUGGACUGAUGUAUUUUAUGCACUACAUGGUAUUUUUUAUGUAUCACUAUAUGUAAUUGGUAGACAAAACUGCUAAUUAAAAUUUAUUGUUUUGUCUAUAGUUCUGCAAAUUUACAGUCUCAAAAUAUCCUAUAAAAUAACUGCUUUGGCCAAAUGCCAAUUGUUAUUAAUGCAAA
Long non-coding RNA from Amphimedon queenslandica, 714 nucleotides. RefSeq lists it as uncharacterized. The transcript has 2 exons. The record is from RefSeq and is a predicted model, not a curated record. Lineage: Eukaryota; Metazoa; Porifera; Demospongiae; Haplosclerida; Niphatidae.